GAUGAACGCUGGCGGCGUGCCUAAUACAUGCAAGUCGAGCGAACAGACGAGGAGCUUGCUCCUCUGACGUUAGCGGCGGACGGGUGAGUAACACGUGGAUAACCUACCUAUAAGACUGGGAUAACUUCGGGAAACCGGAGCUAAUACCGGAUAACAUGUUGAACCGCAUGGUUCAACAGUGAAAGACGGUUUUGCUGUCACUUAUAGAUGGAUCCGCGCCGCAUUAGCUAGUUGGUAAGGUAACGGCUUACCAAGGCAACGAUGCGUAGCCGACCUGAGAGGGUGAUCGGCCACACUGGAACUGAGACACGGUCCAGACUCCUACGGGAGGCAGCAGUAGGGAAUCUUCCGCAAUGGGCGAAAGCCUGACGGAGCAACGCCGCGUGAGUGAAGAAGGUCUUCGGAUCGUAAAACUCUGUUAUUAGGGAAGAACAAAUGUGUAAGUAACUAUGCACGUCUUGACGGUACCUAGUCAGAAAGCCACGGCUAACCACGUG
RNAcentral lists this ribosomal RNA (497 nucleotides) under uncultured bacterium. RNAcentral describes it as "partial 16S ribosomal RNA". It matches the Rfam family "Bacterial small subunit ribosomal RNA", at positions 28 to 507 of the family's 1533-position model. The record is from RNAcentral.